CGACGGUAUUGAUAAGAAAGAGAGCGAAAGUGUAUGUUAUUUCUUUAAAUCUCUUGAAACGUGAAACAGCUAAAAAUAGAACAAUUUAACACCUCAAAUCAGUCAGAUGCAAACCAUUUGACAUCCGGGAAAUAUUCAAAUUAGCAAGGACACAAAGAUUAAAUCAGUGAUGAUGUGCGUCAGUGCAGUCAUUGAGCGAGAGCGCGCAUCGCUUCGGUGCGCAGGUGGAUGUCUGCUCACAAUAGCGCGACUGUCUCGCGCCACAGGUAGUAGCUGUAGCUGGACUCAGGUGUUGUAACACGACACUGAACCAUGUGAUCAGCGAUGAGAAUUUAGGAAGAAGAAGAAGAAAAAAAAACAGCUCGAGCAUUCACUCAACACACUAGUAAAUAGGCUACCCACUGCACAAGACCACCAUUGAUCUCGAAGGACAAUGUAUUAUUAUUAUUAUUAUGAGCAUUACGCCGGAGUAUUGCGCUAGUUUCGGUUUAAAUACUUCAUUUCACCGGUAAGGUGAGGCGGAAGCGAGCUACGGUCAGAUCUAUUGGAUAUAAAGUCUACAUAUAUUCGUCGGGAAACAUCGUGGAUUAUGAAGGUGGACACACAGCCUGCUAGAGACAGACAGGACUAUUUUUAUUCUUUGAUCUUGGACAUGAUUUAUUGAUCAGCUCUGCUCCACCCUACCCGGAGCUUCAGCCCCUUCUGGUUGAGGGUAGAGGUGCAGACUGACUCCAUCAAUCCGGAGAUGAUACGGCAGGUUGGGCUGUUGGCAGGGAGUUUUCUGCUGCUGCUUCUCAGGAAUGUUUCGGCCCAGGGGGAAACAACCACAAUGCCCAGUAACUCAACAACUCCCAACCCAGUAAGUAGAGAUUCUCCUGAGGUGGCCCUAAUAUUGUGGCCAUUGUGGUACCAACUGUGGUCCUGGGACUGCUGGCUAUUUUAACAGCGGUUCUGUUGUUUCUGUUCUGCGUGGUAAAGAAGAAGAGACAGACGGAAGGGACGUACCAACCCAGCGCAGAGGAGCAGUCAGGAGUGCGUAGUGUAGAGACGCCUGACGCUCUGAAACUACCCAAGGAGGAGAGACUGAUUUGACACACUGGUUUAUGAAGAACCUACAGCACAUGAUACCAGUGACUCAAUUCCAAAAUGGUUAAAUGGAUAAACAUUAACUAAGGAACGUUUCUGAAGGCACAAGGCACAAACUUAGCCCUGUGUUUUGGCUAAACAAAGCGAGUCUGACUACUUGGAAGAAACUUGAAGGAACAAAUCGUCUCUCGAAAAAAGGCAACAUAUUGAUCUGCACGUGCAUCUCUCUAGCAUUUUAUGCCUUAAACUUUUCUCUGAAUACUUCAUUUUGUGUUGUGUUACCUGUUUUAAUGGUUGCUUUACACAUACAAAUGCUGAUGUUUGUAUGUAGUGUUGAGAUACAUUUAAAGGUGAAGCAUGUAAUUUCUGCACCCCUGGUGUCACAAAACAGAAUUGCAGUUUGUUUGUUUUGCAUUCAGAAUGAGCCAGACUUAAAAGGGAUAGUUCACCCAAAAAUGGAAAUUCUGUCAUCAUUUACUCACCCUUAAGUUGUUGUUCUGUUGAGCAGAAAGAUAUUUUAAAAAUGUUGGUAACUGAACAAGUUGACAGUAGCCACUGACUUCCAUAGUAUGGGGGAAAAAUACUAUGGAAGUCAAUGACUACCGUCAACUUUUUAAUGACAAAAUUUUAAUUUUUGGGUGAACUGUCACUUUAAAUGUCAUCAGCUUAACCAAUGGUGUUAAUUUGGGGGCAGGACUAUUUGUUUGACUGAAUAAUGGAAGCUUGGUUAAAUUAGUCAUUAUUUUUGCAUUUCUGUUUGUUAGCACUAGAUUAUGCACACUACACCUUUAAAUAUUUAUUCAAAUCAGUUUGCUCAUAAUAUAGGAUGUUCAUGCUCUUAUAUAUGUUUGUUGAAACCACUUUUCAAAUUAUUUCAAGAGCCGUAUUUGUCUUGAUUUACCUCAGUAAUGUUCUCAAUCUAUAUAAUUUAAUCUAGUAUUAAUUUUCUAGAAAUUUGUUCAGUGCAACAGUCAAUUCUACUUGGAAUCAUUCUUGAUUCUUUUAUCAUAGCAUGAAUGUUUACAUUCAAAUAUUUCAUGCAUUUUUUUCACUGGAGUGCCUUUUCAAAUUUCAGCUUUUUAGAAUCUGUUAAAUUGUGCCGUUUAUAUUUAAGAUUAAAAGACACAGCCAGAUGCCUUUGCUUUUAUAAAUGGUUAUUCCAUA
Molecule: long non-coding RNA, 2250 nt
Organism: Cyprinus carpio carpio
Lineage: Eukaryota; Metazoa; Chordata; Actinopteri; Cypriniformes; Cyprinidae
Source: Ensembl